This 806-nucleotide long non-coding RNA is filed under the name Homo sapiens (human). RNAcentral's name for it is "HSALNT0364392". The record is from RNAcentral. Lineage: Eukaryota; Metazoa; Chordata; Mammalia; Primates; Hominidae.
UCUGGGAUGUGAGGAGCGCCUCUGCCCGGCCGAGACCCCGUCUGGGAGGUGAGGAGCGUCUCUGCCCGGCCGCCACGUCUGAGAAGUGAGGAGACCCUCUGCCUGGCAACCACCCCGUCUGAGAAGUGAGGAGCCCCUCCGCCCGGCAGCUGCCCCGUCUGAGAAGUGAGGAGCCUCUCCGCCCGGCAGCCACCCAAUCUGGGAAGUGAGGAGCGUCUCCGCCCGGCAGCCACCCCAUCCGGGAGGGAGGUGGGGGGUCAGCCCCCCCGCCCGGCCAGCCGUGCCGUCCGGGAGGGAGGUGGGGGGGUCAGCCCCCCGCCCGGCCAGCCGCCCCGUCCGGGAGGUGAGGGGCGCCUCUGCCCGGCCGCCCCUACUGGGAAGUGAGGAGCCCCUCAGCCUGGCCAGCCACCCCGUCCGGGAGGGAGAUGGGGGGGUCAGCCCCCCCACCCGGCCAGCCGCCCCGUCCGGGAGGGAGGUGGGGGGGUCAGCCCCCCGCCUGGCCAGCCGCCCCGUCCGGGAGGGAGGUGGGGGGGUCAGCCCUCCGCCCGGCCAGCCGCCCCGUCUGGGAGGUGAGGGGCGCCUCUGCCCGGCCGCCCCUACUGGGAAGUGAGGAGCCCCUCUGCCCGGCCAGCCGCCCGGUCCGGGAGGGAGGUUGGGGGGUCAGCCCCCCGCCCAGCCAGCCGCCCUGUCCGGGAGGGAGGUGGGGGGGUCAGCCCCCCCGCCCGGCCAGCCGCCCCGUCCGGGAGGUGAGGGGCGCCUCUGCCCCGCCGCCCCUACUGGGAAGUGAGGAGCCCCUCUGCCCGGCC